This 465-nucleotide ribosomal RNA is filed under the name uncultured bacterium. Its description in RNAcentral is "bacterial SSU rRNA". It matches the Rfam family "Bacterial small subunit ribosomal RNA", at positions 330 to 793 of the family's 1533-position model. The record is from RNAcentral.
GCCAGACUCCUACGGGAGGCAGCAGUGGGGAAUAUUGCACAAUGGGGGAAACCCUGAUGCAGCGACGCCGCGUGAGUGAAGAAGUAUUUCGGUAUGUAAAGCUCUAUCAGCAGGGAAGAAAUAGCGACCUUUGGGUCGCCAGACGGUACCUGACUAAGAAGCUCCGGCUAAAUACGUGCCAGCAGCCGCGGUAAUACGUAUGGAGCAAGCGUUAUCCGGAUUUACUGGGUGUAAAGGGAGCGUAGACGGCAAUACAAGUCGGAAGUGAAAUACCCGGGCUUAACCUGGGAACUGCUUUGGAAACUGUAUGGCUGGAGUGCUGGAGAGGUAAGCGGAAUUCCUAGUGUAGCGGUGAAAUGCUUAGAUAUCACGAAGAACCCCGAUUGCGAAGGCAGCCUGCCGCAGCGUUACUGACGCUGAAGCUCGAAAGCGCGGGUAUCGAACAGGAUUAGAUACCCCAGUACG